This 248-nucleotide ribosomal RNA is filed under the name uncultured Oscillospiraceae bacterium. RNAcentral describes it as "partial 16S ribosomal RNA". It matches the Rfam family "Bacterial small subunit ribosomal RNA", at positions 796 to 1041 of the family's 1533-position model. Lineage: Bacteria; Bacillati; Bacillota; Clostridia; Eubacteriales; Oscillospiraceae. The record is from RNAcentral.
CACACUGUAAACGAUGAUUACUAGGUGUGGGGGGUCUGACCCCUUCCGUGCCGGAGUUAACACAAUAAGUAAUCCACCUGGGGAGUACGGUCGCAAGACUAAAACUCAAAGGAAUUGACGGGGCCCCGCACAAGCAGUGGAGUAUGUGGUUUAAUUCGAAGCAACGCGAAGAACCUUACCAGGUCUUGACAUCUAACUAAUCCUCUAGAGAUAGAGGAGUGCCCUUCGGGGAAAGUUAAGACAGGUGG